AUCUGCUGACACCUGAUGAACCUGUUGACUGCCUCCAGACAGACACAGUUCCAAGCAUUCAUAAGCAGAACAUAUGACCGAUCUUGGUGUCCAUCUAAGGCUACAUCUUAUUGUAACAUGUCUGAAAGGAAAUGAGAAUACACAGGGAACAUGGGAACAUUUAUAUUAUAUAAUUCAUAUAUUUUGUUUAGAUGUUUUACUGAGGUCUAUCUAGUGUUUUAUGUUGAAUCAGUGAUGCAAUUAUUUGCCUUACUGUUUUACUGUGCGAGUUUCAGCUACAGCCAAACAUCUUUGUGUCGAACUUGGAUGUGUCGAACAACGGUUGUCACGAAGUCAAAGUUUGGAUUUUACGUACUGUGUUCAUGAGUGAGUGAGUGAGUUUACACCCACGACUUGAUAGAACCAGGGAGAGUCUGAUACAAGCGACGUUAACCCGAAUCCACACCCCUCUAUAACGUUGAUUAAUUAGGUAUGAUAACUAAAUACCUGCUGUUAAAGGUUAGCUUGGUCAGGGAAGUGUACUGAUAUUUGAAAUUCUGAAUGAAUGAGGAAUAAACAUUUUGAAUAUUCCAGAAUCCAACGAAUAGAAGACUUAACCAUAUUGGCAUCGAACACGAGUUCUUAUUAUUUAGUGAGUGAGUGAGUGAGUGAGUGAGUUUAGGUUUACGCCGCACUCUGCAAUAUACCAGCUAU
Molecule: long non-coding RNA, 693 nt
Organism: Haliotis rubra (blacklip abalone)
Lineage: Eukaryota; Metazoa; Mollusca; Gastropoda; Lepetellida; Haliotidae
Exons: 3
Source: RefSeq, a predicted model, not a curated record